This 471-nucleotide ribosomal RNA is filed under the name uncultured bacterium. Its description in RNAcentral is "bacterial SSU rRNA". It matches the Rfam family "Bacterial small subunit ribosomal RNA", at positions 328 to 793 of the family's 1533-position model. The record is from RNAcentral.
CUCUGUGACUCCUACGGGAGGCAGCAGUGGGGAAUAUUGCACAAUGGGGGAAACCCUGAUGCAGCCAUGCCGCGUGUGUGAAGAAGGCCUUCGGGUUGUAAAGCACUUUCAGUAGGGAGGAAGGUAGUGUAGUUAACACCUGCACUAUUUGACGUUACCUACAGAAGAAGCACCGGCUAACUCCGUGCCAGCAGCCGCGGUAAUACGGAGGGUGCGAGCGUUAAUCGGAAUUACUGGGCGUAAAGCGCAUGCAGGCGGCCUGUUAAGUCAGAUGUGAAAGCCCGGGGCUUAACCUCGGAAUUGCAUUUGAAACUGGCAGGCUAGAGUCUUGUAGAGGGGGUAGAAUUUCAGGUGUAGCGGUGAAAUGCGUAGAGAUCUGAAGGAAUACCAGUGGCGAAGGCGGCCCCCUGGACAAAGACUGACGCUCAGAUGCGAAAGCGUGGGGAGCAAACAGGAUUAGAUACCCUGUAG